UGGAAUAUAGAAUUACCACAACAUGGCACAGUUUACCAGUGCUGCACAGCCCUGUGACUCUCAAGUUUGAUUCUGGGGUCCAAGGCUUACUGAUGAAAGUGAAUGAUCCUUUCUUUGAUGAUCCCAGCACUACCAGGCGAAGCAGGACUGCCUUUUGAUGGAGUAUGAAGAGUUUCCAGAUACCUCAUGCUACUCAUCCCACGUAUCUGAAAAUGCAGUGACAUGGAAAGAUGAGGUCAAAAACUGUGUGACCUGGAACUGAGAUUUUUGGAAUGAACAGUCUAUAUCUGUUGUUGAAUCGUUUUUGUUCGAACAGCAAGACUAAACAGCACCUGGAGGUGGAACUCUGCCUGCACGGACAGCACCUGGUACUACUGCUCUCCAACAGGGAUUCAUUUACAUAAGAGCCAAGUUCACAAUUUAAAGUCAACACUACCUGGAACCGGUGG
This is a long non-coding RNA of Eubalaena glacialis (North Atlantic right whale), 449 nucleotides long. RefSeq lists it as uncharacterized. NCBI's taxonomy places the organism in Eukaryota, Metazoa, Chordata, Mammalia, Artiodactyla, Balaenidae. The transcript is spliced from 5 exons. The record is from RefSeq and is a predicted model, not a curated record.